AACGUAGGAGACGAGCGUUAUCCGGAUUUACUGGGCGUAAAGCGCGUGCAGGCGGCAUGGCAAGUUGGAUGUGAAAGCUCCCGGCUUAACUGGGAGAGGUCGUUCAAUACUGCCAGGCUUGAGAGUGGUAGAGGGAAGCGGAAUUCCGGGUGUAGUGGUGAAAUGCGUAGAUAUCCGGAGGAACACCAGUGGCGAAAGCGGCUUCCUGGCCCAUUUCUGACGCUCAGACGCGAAAGCUAGGGUAG
Molecule: ribosomal RNA, 245 nt
Filed under: uncultured Longilinea sp.
Lineage: Bacteria; Bacillati; Chloroflexota; Anaerolineae; Anaerolineales; Anaerolineaceae
Description: partial 16S ribosomal RNA
Rfam family: Bacterial small subunit ribosomal RNA
Source: RNAcentral